Sphaeramia orbicularis (orbiculate cardinalfish) is the source of this 2327-nucleotide long non-coding RNA. RefSeq lists it as uncharacterized. NCBI's taxonomy places the organism in Eukaryota, Metazoa, Chordata, Actinopteri, Kurtiformes, Apogonidae. The record is from RefSeq and is a predicted model, not a curated record. The transcript has 2 exons.
UUUGUCCCAUCUGUGUUUUUAGUCCAUUUCCACAUUUCAAUCCUGUGCUGGAUCCAUGAAACCAGUUGGUUCCAGUGGGCCGUCCUUCACUGGUCCAUUUGUGUUGUUGGUUUGUUUCCUGCUGUCAACAUGAUUGUAAACACACACAUUUGAUGGGAGCCCUGAAGCUGUUGGGACAUGUGAGCCCAGUCCAAACCAUGACACAAACAUUCAACCUUCAUGUUGAACACUGGCUCCAUCCUCUAGUUGUCUUCAAUGCAGAUUCCUGCUCAUAAACCUCAGAAUGGUUUUGUGUGUCAGCUCCAUCCAGCCUCUCUCUGGACUGUUUGGAUGAUGCUCUGAUCAAAUCCAUGCACACAUUUGGACACUUCCACUCACUUGUUCUUUUCAACACUUCCUUUAAUGGUUCACAUAUUGAAUUGAUCCAAACCUGGGGCUCAAAUCCAUCAUUUGUCCCAUUCUUUGUGUUUGUGUCAAGAACUGAAAAUCUGUUCAAUACCAUUUGAUUUUCUGUUUGACAAAGAAGGAAAAUCCAGUCCUUUAGAAAUGUUGAAUCUGCUGUUUCUGAUCAGGAAAAUCAAACAGGAAAAUCCAAUCCACUGUGUUUUUAUUGAACGUCUGUUGGUGAAAAUGUGCUCAGAAACAACAGAUCUGUCUAGAAAACACUGGAUUGAUCUUUUAUUGAUCAGUAUUGAUCAGAGUCAGACUCACACAUGAUCCAUCCAUCAAUAACAGUUGAAUUGAACCCAGUCAUGUGAUCAGACUGUCAGUCAAUCAGCUGAUCACUGAUCAAUAACUGCAGCUGUUUUGUGUUUUCUUCUGUCCAUCAGAUUUCUGUGAACUCACCCUGGAUCCAAACACAGCGCACAGAGAACUGAAACUGUCUGAAAACAACAAGAAGGUGGAACGAGUGAAGGGGCGUCUGUCAUAUCCAAAACAUCAGGACAGAUUUGACUACUGGCCUCAGCUGAUGUGCUCAACUGGUCUGACUGGUCGCUGUUACUGGGAGGUCCAGUGGAGUGGAAACGUUGAUAUAUCAGUGACUUACAGAAGAAUCAGAAGGAAAGGAAACAGUGAUGACUGUGAGUUUGGAAGAAAUGAUCAGUCCUGGAGUCUGUGGUGUUUUGGAGAUGGAUACAGUGUCUGGCAUAAAAACAAAUGCACAUCCCUCCCUCAGUCCUCCUCCUCCUCCUCCUCCUCCUCCUCCUCCUCCUCCUCUGGUACAGUCUCAGUGUAUGUGGACUGUCCUGCUGGAUCUGUGUCCUUCUACAGAGUCUCCUCUGACAAACUGAUCCACCUGCACACCUUCAAAACCACAUUCACUGAACCACUGUUUGCAGGAUUUGCACUGUGGAGGCAGGGAUCCACAGUGUGUUUGUGUGAUGUGUAGUUGUGUUGUGUAGUUGUGUUAUGUAGUUGUGUAGUUGUGUUUUGUAGUUGUGUUGUUUUGUUGUGUAGUUGUGUUGUGUAUUGUUUAGUUGUGUAGUUGUGUUGUGUAGUUGUGUAGUGUCCAUAAAAUGGUUGUGCUCAAAUCAGUGUCAUUUGAACACAGUUGUGUGUGAGUUGAUGCUCUACAAAUACACAAACAUUUAGAAACACCAAGAACAUAAAUCAGCCUCAGUUCUUCAACAGUUGUCUUGUUUCUUUGGAUGCUUUCUAUGUUUAUAAAAUUAGAAAUGAAUCCAACCAGUAGUUUGACAGAAGAAUUGCUCAUGAAGACGACGCCUCCACAAUAACUCAUCUGUGUGCAUUUUUUCCACAGUGAGAGGAUUAGGACUGUAGACUGAAAAUGACAAUUCCAGUAAAGGAGCGCAUUUACAGAAGAAAGACAGAAUGUUGCAUCCAAUUCUCUUUUUUCUCCAUAUAUUCUCCCUUUAUUUUGUGUCCAUGUCCAUUUGCAUAAACAGCUGUUUCUCAGUGGAAUUCCAGUCUUUGAGUCCUAAAGGCUCAUGAGUGUCAUGUGUGUGAGUCUUCCUUCAUGGACACUUCAGCAGCUGAACACAAGAGGGCGCCGUCAUCCUGUUCAAACACAUCCACUCAGUCUGUGCAUUUUCAAUCCACAUGUCUGUAGAUUCCAUCCAAAACUCCUGCUGUGUCUGCCACAUAUGAGGAGGAAUUACUGCUGUUAAAGAUCACACUCACACAUGAGUCCAUUUUAUGGACUUGGACUUUGAACAAAGAGUGAAUUCAUGUGAAAAUCAUCUGUUUUUUCACAUGUUGAUGCUUUUGUUUGAAUAAAUGCAGAUCAAACUCAAUCCUUUACUCAUGCAGAUUAUUGUCCAUUUUUCAUCCGAUGUAAAAUGACAAAUAAAAGCAUCUGAAUUGAA